Molecule: ribosomal RNA, 2124 nt
Filed under: Mediterraneibacter gnavus
Lineage: Bacteria; Bacillati; Bacillota; Clostridia; Lachnospirales; Lachnospiraceae
Description: [Ruminococcus] gnavus partial 23S ribosomal RNA
Rfam family: Bacterial large subunit ribosomal RNA
Source: RNAcentral
UUGGUUAUGCUAAUAAGAGCGUAUGGUGGAUGCCUUGGCACUAAGAGCCGAUGAAAGACGUGAUAAGCUGCGAAAAGCUUCGGGGAGGAGCAAAUAUCCUGAGAUCCGGAGAUAUCUGAAUGGGGAAACCUACUUGAGAAGACCUCAAGUAUCCACAGCCCAAUCCAUAAGCUGUGGAAGGGAACCCGGUGAACUGAAACAUCUAAGUAGCCGGAGGAAGAGAAAACAACAUGUGAUUCCGUAAGUAGCGGCGAGCGAACGCGGAAGAGCCCAAACCGGAGUGCGUGCACUCCGGGGUUCGGACUGCAGGAUUGACGAGUGAGCCUAGUAGAAUGGUUUUGGGAAAGCCAGCCAGAGAGGGUGAAAGCCCCGUACACGAAAGGCAAGCGAGCAUGGCAGGAUCCAGAGUACCACGAGACACGUGAAACCUUGUGGGAAUGAGCGGGGACCACCCCGUAAGGCUAAAUACUCCUUAGUGACCGAUAGCGCAUAGUACUGUGAAGGAAAGGUGAAAAGGACCCCGGGAGGGGAGUGAAAGAGAACCUGAAACCAUAUGUUUACAAGCUGUGGAACAUCUUUAUAUGAUGAACCGCGUACUUUUUGUAGAACGGUCCGGCGAGUUACGCUGGCUGGCGAGGUUAAGGGCUGAAGGCCUGGAGCCGAAGGGAAACCGAGUCUGAACAGGGCGAAAUAGUCAGUCGGAGUAGACCCGAAACCGGGUGAUCUAUCCAUGUCCAGGUUGAAGUUGCCGUAAAAGGCAAUGGAGGACCGAACCCACAUCCGUUGAAAAGGGUGGGGAUGAGGUGUGGAUAGGGGAGAAAUUCCAAUCGAACCCGGAGAUAGCUGGUUCUCCUCGAAAUAGCUUUAGGGCUAGCCUCAUGCAAGUCUUACGGAGGUAGAGCACUGAAUUCCUAAGGGGGCGUCAAAGCUUACCAAGGGAUAUCAAACUCCGAAUGCCGUGUAGAUGGUGCAUGGGAGUCAGACUAUCCGAGAUAAGUUGGGUAGUCAAAAGGGAAAGAGCCCAGACCUACAGCUAAGGUCCCAAAAUGUGUGUUAAGUGGAAAAGGAUGUGGGAUUUCGAAGACAACUAGGAUGUUGGCUUAGAAGCAGCCAUCCAUUAAAAGAGUGCGUAAUAGCUCACUAGUCGAGAGGUCCUGCGCCGAAAAUGUCCGGGGCUGAAACACACUACCGAAGCUUGGGAAUUGACGAAUGUUAAUUGGUAGAGGAGCAUUCUUAACGGGGCGAAGCUGUACCGGAAGGAGCAGUGGACUGUUAAGAAGAGAGAAUGCCGGAAUGAGUAGCGAGAGGAAGGUGAGAAUCCUUCCGGCCGAAUAUCUAAGGUUUCCAGAGUAAAGCUGAUCUGCUCUGGGUAAGUCGGGGCCUAAGGCGAGGUCGAAAGACGUAGUCGAUGGAUAACAGGUAAAGAUUCCUGUACUGUAUCAUAACAGAACUGUGGGGACGCAGACAGAGAGCAUAAGCCGGGAAUGGAAAGACCGGUACAAGCGAGGUAGGAGUGCAUCAGGCAAAUCCGGUGCACAAUCUGAAGACGUGAUGUGGGGCGUAAAGCCGGAAGUAUGUGAGCUGGCUGCCAAGAAAAGCCGCUAUUGUUUAUGAUAUACCCGUACCGUAAACCGACACAGGUGGAUGAGGAGAGAAUCCUAAGGCCGACGGGAGAAGCAUUGUUAAGGAACUCGGCAAAAUGACUCCGUAACUUCGGGAGAAGGAGUGCCAUGUAAAAGUGGCCGCAGAGAAUUGGCCCAAGCAACUGUUUAGCAAAAACACAGGUCUAUGCAAAACCGAAAGGUGAGGUAUAUGGGCUGACGCCUGCCCGGUGCUGGAAGGUUAAGGGGAGAGGUUAGCCGUAAGGCGAAGCUUUGAACUUAAGCCCCAGUAAACGGCGGCCGUAACUAUAACGGUCCUAAGGUAGCGAAAUUCCUUGUCGGGUAAGUUCCGACCCGCACGAAAGGCGUAAUGAUUUGGGCACUGUCUCAACAAUGCACCCGGUGAAAUUGAAAUACCAGUGAAGAUGCUGGUUACCUGCGCCAGGACGGAAAGACCCCAUGGAGCUUUACUCCAGCUUGAUACUGGGAUUCGAUAUUGCAUGUACAGGAUAGGUGGGAGACU